UUUGGUGCCAGCAGCCGCGGUAAUACCGACUCCAAGAGUGUGUAUGAGAGAUGCUGCAGUUAAAAAGUCCGUAGUCAUAGAAGGGCAAAGAGAGAUGCGAGGUCUCACAGUGCGAUGAUGGAGGAGCCGAUGGGGAACAUAGUAUACCAGGGCGAGAGAUGAAAUGCCAAGACCCCUGGUGGACUGAGCGAGGCGAAGGCGAUGUUCUUGUAGGCAUUCGGUGAUCAAGGACGAAGGCUGGAGUAUCGAAAGUGAUUAGAUACCGCAGUAGUUCCAGCAGUAAAAGAUGCCGACAUGCUCAUUGGACACAGUGGGCAGGGAGAAAUCUUAGAGUUCGGGCUCUGGGGAUAGUAUGCUCGCAAGGGUGAAAAUUAAAGAAAUUGACGGAGCUACACCACAAGGAGUGGAUUGUGCGGCUUAAUUUGACUCAACGCGAGGAAACUUACCAGGGCCAAGUAUUGUGUAGAAACGAGCAAUACAGGAGUGGUGCAUGGUCGUUGGAAAUUGAUGGGAUGACUUUGACCUUAAAUGGUUGAAUGAGUGAGAUCUUUUGGACAUGUUCCGCACGGAACAGGAAGGAAAAGGCUAUAACAGAUCCGAGAUGCCCUCAGAUGCCCUGGGCUGCACGCGCAAUACAAUAGCAGGUAGAGAGAGAGACAGGAAGGUGCUCAGAUGGACUAUGUGCUGUAAGGCACAUACGAAAGAGGAAUUCCUAGUAAGUGUGUAUCAACAAUGGAUAU
RNAcentral lists this ribosomal RNA (740 nucleotides) under Vittaforma corneae. RNAcentral's name for it is "SSU rRNA". It matches the Rfam family "Microsporidia small subunit ribosomal RNA", at positions 386 to 1164 of the family's 1311-position model. The record is from RNAcentral. Lineage: Eukaryota; Fungi; Microsporidia; Nosematidae.